ACGAACGCUGGCGGCGUGCUUAACACAUGCAAGUCGAACGAUGAAGCCCUUCGGGGUGGAUUAGUGGCGAACGGGUGAGUAACACGUGGGCAAUCUGCCCUUCACUCUGGGACAAGCCCUGGAAACGGGGUCUAAUACCGGAUAAUACCUGCCUGGGCAUCUGGGUGGGUUGAAAGCUCCGGCGGUGAAGGAUGAGCCCGCGGCCUAUCAGCUUGUUGGUGAGGUAGUGGCUCACCAAGGCGACGACGGGUAGCCG
RNAcentral lists this ribosomal RNA (256 nucleotides) under Streptomyces sp. ISO179_OTU396. RNAcentral's name for it is "partial 16S ribosomal RNA". It matches the Rfam family "Bacterial small subunit ribosomal RNA", at positions 29 to 289 of the family's 1533-position model. RNAcentral also lists the same sequence under 6 other names. The record is from RNAcentral. Lineage: Bacteria; Bacillati; Actinomycetota; Actinomycetes; Kitasatosporales; Streptomycetaceae.